This is a long non-coding RNA of Dermochelys coriacea (leatherback sea turtle), 619 nucleotides long. RefSeq lists it as uncharacterized. The transcript is spliced from 5 exons. The record is from RefSeq and is a predicted model, not a curated record. NCBI's taxonomy places the organism in Eukaryota, Metazoa, Chordata, Testudines, Dermochelyidae.
AAUGUUUCUCAUUCUGAUAAUUAUAGAGGAUGGAUUACCUUUGUUUGAAUAUGGAAGCCAUACAGUAUAUUUACAUAGGUGGGAUAAAUAAAUGCAGAUUUAUUUAUCUGUGUUUGGGACUUGUGUGAGGUGAGAAAGCUGGUUCUCAAAAAAGCAAGCUCGUAUUUUUCCACUUCUUAGCCUGGUUGCAAAGCAUUACCUUACUCAGAAACAAGUUAAUAGGCUGUGACAGUGGCAUCCAUCCAAUUACAAGCAAAGAAGCUAUAAGUAACCCUUCCAUUCCUAUUGUUAUGGGCUGUAAGACCUUAUUUGCCUGUUCAUGUUCAAAACAACCAACAUGUCUUUUUGUACAGGCACUUGAUGAUUGAAUAUUCAAAAUGACCUGUGAGAGAUUAGUUAGGAGUGUGGCUUCUAAUCUAACAGCAUCAGUGUCUCCUAAGCAUUUCAGAAAAUGCUUCAUCACCCUGGUUCUGAGAAAGGCACAGAAAUUAGGACCUGUUUCUGCUGCCCUUACAAUGAGCAGAGCUUGCCCAGGAGAAGUCAAUGGGACUGUUUGCUUAGACCUAAUAAAAAAUUGGAAAUUGCUUCACACCUUGAAUCUGGACAAAAUUAAAAAAAU